RNAcentral lists this ribosomal RNA (253 nucleotides) under uncultured bacterium. RNAcentral's name for it is "partial 16S ribosomal RNA". It matches the Rfam family "Bacterial small subunit ribosomal RNA", at positions 524 to 776 of the family's 1533-position model. The record is from RNAcentral.
GACGUAGGGCGCGAGCGUUGUCCGGAUUUAUUGGGCGUAAAGAGCUCGUAGGCGGCUUGUCGCGUCGACUGUGAAAUCCCGCGGCUCAACUGCGGGUCUGCAGCCGAUACGGGCAGGCUAGAGUUCGGUAGGGGAGACUGGAAUUCCUGGUGUAGCGGUGAAAUGCGCAGAUAUCAGGAGGAACACCGGUGGCGAAGGCGGGUCUCUGGGCCGAAACUGACGCUGAGGAGCGAAAGCGUGGGGAGCAAACAGG